GACGAACGCUGGCGGCGUGCUUAACACAUGCAAGUCGAGCGGUAAGGCCCUUUCGGGGGUACACGAGCGGCGAACGGGUGAGUAACACGUGGGUGACCUGCCCUUAGCUCUGGGAUAAGCCUGGGAAACUGGGUCUAAUACCGGAUAUGACUCCAUGACGCAUGUUGUGGGGUGGAAAGCCUUGUGCGGCUAGGGAUGGGCCCGCGGCCUAUCAGCUUGUUGGUGGGGUGAUGGCCACCGAAGGCGACGACGGGUAGCCGGCCUGAGAGGGCGACCGGCCACACUGGGACUGAGACACGGCCCAGACUCCUACGGGAGGCAGCA
This 324-nucleotide ribosomal RNA is filed under the name uncultured bacterium. RNAcentral describes it as "bacterial SSU rRNA". It matches the Rfam family "Bacterial small subunit ribosomal RNA", at positions 28 to 353 of the family's 1533-position model. The record is from RNAcentral.